Molecule: small RNA, 26 nt
Filed under: Bombyx mori (domestic silkworm)
Lineage: Eukaryota; Metazoa; Arthropoda; Insecta; Lepidoptera; Bombycidae
Description: ovarian small RNA-38375
Source: RNAcentral
UUUGACUAGGACUGCCACUUUUUGAG